AUUGAACGCUGGCGGCAGGCCUAACACAUGCAAGUCGAGCGGAUGAAGGGAGCUUGCUCCUGGAUUCAGCGGCGGACGGGUGAGUAAUGCCUAGGAAUCUGCCUGGUAGUGGGGGAUAACGUCCGGAAACGGGCGCUAAUACCGCAUACGUCCUGAGGGAGAAAGUGGGGGAUCUUCGGACCUCACGCUAUCAGAUGAGCCUAGGUCGGAUUAGCUAGUUGGUGGGGUAAAGGCCUACCAAGGCGACGAUCCGUAAUUGGUCUGAGAGGAUGAUCAGUCACACUGGAACUGAGACACGGUCCAGACUCCUACGGGAGGCAGCAGUGGGGAAUAUUGGACAAUGGGCGAAAGCCUGAUCCAGCCAUGCCGCGUGUGUGAAGAAGGUCUUCGGAUUGUAAAGCACUUUAAGUUGGGAGGAAGGGCAGUAAGUUAAUACCUUGCUGUUUUGACGUUACCAGCAGAAUAAGCACCGGCUAACUUCGUG
Molecule: ribosomal RNA, 484 nt
Filed under: uncultured bacterium
Lineage: Bacteria
Description: partial 16S ribosomal RNA
Rfam family: Bacterial small subunit ribosomal RNA
Source: RNAcentral